Molecule: non-coding RNA, 65 nt
Organism: Podarcis lilfordi (Lilford's wall lizard)
Lineage: Eukaryota; Metazoa; Chordata; Lepidosauria; Squamata; Lacertidae
Source: the annotation of a GenBank genome assembly
GAAGUUCACUGGUAGAACAUCUGAUUUGCAUGCAGAAGGCCUAGGUUCCAUCUCUGGCAUCUCCA